UGGGGCUUAACCCCCUAAAACUCCUUUUGAAAACUUGGGUUUUGAGGGGCUGGAGGGCCAAUCGGAAUUUCUAUGGGUAGGGGUGAAAUGGGUAAAUUAUUAGGGGGGACACCCAGGGGCGAAGGCGGGAUUGGCGGGCCAGUAACUGACGGUGGGGCGCGAAAGUGUGGGGAGCAAACAGGAUUAGAUACCCUGGGUAGUCCACACCGUAAACGAUGAAUAUUAGGUGUGCGGGGACUGACCCCCUGCGUGCCGCAGUAAAACACAAUAAGUAUUCCACCUGGGGAGUACGAUCGCAAGGUUGAAACUCAAAGGAAUUGACGGGGGCCCGCACAAGCGGUGGAUUAUGUGGUUUAAUUCGAAGCAACGCGAAGAACCUUACCAGGGUUUGACAUCCUGCUAACGAAGUAGAGAUACAUCAGGUGCCCUUCGGGGAAAGCAGAGACAGGUGGUGCAUGGUUGUCGUCAGCUCGUGUCGUGAGAUGUUGGGUUAAGUCCCGCAACGAGCGCAACCCCUAUUGUUAGUUGCUACGCAAGAGCACUCUAGCGAGACUGCCGUUGACAAAACGGAGGAAGGUGGGGACGACGUCAAAUCAUCAUGCCCCUUAUAUCCUGGGCUACACACGUAAUACAAUGGAUGAUACAGCGAGAAGCGAAGUCGCGAGGCCAAGCGGAUCUCUUAAAGUCAUUCUCAGUUCGGAUUGUUCUCUGCAACUCGAGAGCAUGAAGCCGGAAUCGCUAGUAAUCGUGGAUCAGCACGCCACGGUGAAUACGUUCCCGGGUCUUGUACUCACCGCCCGUCA
This 803-nucleotide ribosomal RNA is filed under the name uncultured bacterium. RNAcentral describes it as "bacterial SSU rRNA". It matches the Rfam family "Bacterial small subunit ribosomal RNA", at positions 603 to 1399 of the family's 1533-position model. The record is from RNAcentral.